RNAcentral lists this ribosomal RNA (514 nucleotides) under uncultured bacterium. RNAcentral describes it as "bacterial SSU rRNA". It matches the Rfam family "Bacterial small subunit ribosomal RNA", at positions 29 to 523 of the family's 1533-position model. The record is from RNAcentral.
AAUCAACGCUGGCGGCGUGCCUAACACAUGCAAGUCGAACGCGAAAGGGACUUCGGUCCUGAGUAGAGUGGCGAACGGGUGAGUAACGCGUGGGUGACCUACCCUCGAGUGGGGGAUAACGUUCCGAAAGGGACGCUAAUACCGCAUGACAUUCUGGGUUUGAAGACCUGGAAAUCAAAGCCGGGGACCGCAAGGCCUGGCGCUUGAGGAGGGGCCCGCGUCUGAUUAGCUAGUUGGCGGGGUAAUGGCCCACCAAGGCGACGAUCAGUAGCCGGCCUGAGAGGGCGGACGGCCACACUGGGACUGAGACACGGCCCAGACUCCUACGGGAGGCAGCAGUGGGGAAUUGUUCGCAAUGGGCGCAAGCCUGACGACGCAACGCCGCGUGGAGGAUGAAGGUCUUCGGAUUGUAAACUCCUGUUGAUCGGGACGAAAAGCUUCGACCUAAUACGUCGAAGACUGACGGUACCGGUUGAGGAAGCCACGGCUAACUACGUGCCAGCAGCCGCGGUAA